Molecule: ribosomal RNA, 253 nt
Filed under: uncultured bacterium
Lineage: Bacteria
Description: partial 16S ribosomal RNA
Rfam family: Bacterial small subunit ribosomal RNA
Source: RNAcentral
UACGGAAGGGGCUAGCGUUGUUCGGAAUUACUGGGCGUAAAGAGCGCGUAGGCGGCUUACCAAGUUGGGGGUGAAAUCCCGGAGCACAACUCCGGAACUGCCUUCAAAACUGGUAGGCUCGAGUCCGGAAGAGGGGCGUGGAAUUCCCAGUGUAGAGGUGAAAUUCGUAGAUAUUGGGAAGAACACCGGUGGCGAAGGCGGCGCCCUGGUCCGGUACUGACGCUGAGGCGCGAAAGCGUGGGGAGCAAACUUG